AAUGCCGAAAAUUUUAAAUAAAGAACUUCCGAAAACAAAGAAGUCUUAUUCAGAAUCGUCCAGUGCAUUAUAUGAUCAAAAUAAUAAGCCAUCAUCAAGUGUUUUAGAUUCUGUAAUAUAUUUUAAAGAAAUCAUACGCCAACAGGAUCUUUUUAAAGCUGAAAUUUGACAACAAAGCGAAGAUAUACGAAUCAUUAAAAAUGCAGUAGAGAAUAAUUUGCAUCACAAUGUAAAUGACGCAGUAGGCAAUACUAGAGAGCAAUCUAUUUUUUAUUCUUGCAAUAUUCCCAUACAGAAUGAAAGGCAAUUAGAGGAGCAGAUGAAAGACUCCUUAAAAAUUAAUGAGAAUUUUGAUACAUCGAUUUUAGAAGUUUCAAAAAUUGGAGGGAAGAGUUCUUACGAGUUUGUAAAACGCAACUUAAGUCAAAUUCUCACAAAUGAACUAGCUUCUAAAUACAGUUGGCUAGGAAAAAAAAUAAGCGUGUAUUCCGGACAUUAAAGCUAGCACAGUUAUUAAUCGGUACGUUUUAAAAAAUAUUUAUAUACUUGUUUUUUAAGGUUCCUGAUCAUUCGCCAUUGCCAUGUUGAAUCAUGACGUUAGAGAAAUGACACGCUAAGAAUUCUUGCGUGUCGUUUCUAAAGCAAAAGAUAUUUAAAUAAAACACUUCAGGUUAUUUUUAUUAGCAAAUUUUUAAAGUUCGAAAAUGUUUUUUCUCCCUUGAUAAUUAAUAAUAAGUAGCCGUAAAAUGUGAAUGUAAUACGAUUUCUAAUCAUAUAGACGUUGUGUAUGCGCAAGCCUAGUCAUAACUAGGAUUCGCAUUACAUUCAUAUUUUAUAGCUGCUUAUUAAUUAUUAAAAGAAAAGGAUAGUUUUUGAACAAUUUUAUAAGUGUGCUAAAGCGAUUUGAAGUAUUCUAUCAUUCAAAUAUUUUUUUAUUUGGAAGUAGCACAUAAGAAUUCUCAACGUAUCAUUUCUCGUUUCUGACGUCACGAUUCAACAUACUGCAGCUGAUGUUAAGUAGCUACAUAUAUGCCGAUUUUUGAUAUAGCUGCAGGCAAAAAGGUUAACGCUACCUUCACUAAAAAGGAUAUUGAAAAAGGGAUUCAAAAAUGGUUAAAAAGGGCAAAGGAGAGGUGUGAUGCGGAACAAAAGAAAUUAAAUAUUCAAAGACAACCAGAAGAUUUAAUAUUAUAAGAUAUUUAAGGCCUGUUUUUUAUGUUUCAGUUCCUAUUUUGUUUAUAAGUUUGUUCGCAUUUUUUAAAUUUAUA
Molecule: long non-coding RNA, 1268 nt
Organism: Monomorium pharaonis (pharaoh ant)
Lineage: Eukaryota; Metazoa; Arthropoda; Insecta; Hymenoptera; Formicidae
Exons: 3
Source: RefSeq, a predicted model, not a curated record